UCGUUUAUAUUGCUUCAGAUCUAAGAACUCUAGGGCAAGUCAGAUUUCCAGUUCUUGAACUCUAUAGUUGAUGCUCUCUUUCAUAACCAUAUUCUGCAAGUGAAGAGCUUGGAGGAGACCCUAAACUGCUUCUAAGGGAAGUGAUAGAGAACUUAGCAAAAGACUUCCCUCCAACAUACUUAGUUGUCCAGCAUGCUGACCUUGCUUCAGUGAAAUUGGCUACUUCGAUGUAUAGGGGUGGUCAUGGGAUGUCAUACAAGGUCACCUUUGCAAGGAGAAUGAAACAGUUUCAGGAGAUGCAAUGAACCCAAUGACACCUGAACUCGGUCAAGGUGGAUGACCAGCAGUUGAGGAUGCAGCUGUUCUUGGCCGGCACAUUGGGAAUUCAUUCCUCCAAAAUGGGCAUCGAAUCAUCCGGAAGUGGUAGAUAGAGUUAUAGAAGGGUAUGUGAAGGAGAGGAGAUGGCAUGCCUUCGGUUUGAUCAUUGGAUCCUGUCUUCCAGGCUGGGCACAACAAGUGAAGUCAGGAUGGUUGACGAAGCUAAUUAGGGAUAUAAUUUUAUUUAAGUUGAUAUACAGUUUUUCUUUGGUUCAACAUACUUUGAUUGUGGGGAGUUGCGUAGAGUUCCCACUAUGGUUGAUUAGAGCUUCUGAUCAAAUUUGUUACAUUGUGUUGGGGUUGAUGCAGCCCUAUGGGAGGAAUAACUUAUGGUCUUAUAAUGUUAUUGAAAAGGCUUUAAAUAGCCCUACAGAAUCCUAAAUACUACAAAUCCCAUUGCAACCCCACAA
Long non-coding RNA from Macadamia integrifolia, 788 nucleotides. RefSeq lists it as uncharacterized. The transcript is spliced from 2 exons. NCBI's taxonomy places the organism in Eukaryota, Viridiplantae, Streptophyta, Magnoliopsida, Proteales, Proteaceae. The record is from RefSeq and is a predicted model, not a curated record.